RNAcentral lists this non-coding RNA (47 nucleotides) under Mytilus galloprovincialis (Mediterranean mussel). It matches the Rfam family "Histone 3' UTR stem-loop". From Rfam's summary of the family: The mRNAs of metazoan histone genes lack a poly-A tail. Lineage: Eukaryota; Metazoa; Mollusca; Bivalvia; Mytilida; Mytilidae. The record is from RNAcentral.
UCAACGGCCCUUUUUAGGGCCAACCUAAAUAUUUCAAAAAGACGUUU